CAGGGUGGAGGGGAAGGGAAGAUGUACAUCAAGGACACAGAGUUCCAGUUAUGCAGGAUGAAUUGGUUCUAGGACCUUAACAUAGUUUAGGGACACCAAUAUUACCGAUUUUAUGCUUGGAAUUUACUCAGACUUCAAGGUGUACCCACCACAAAAACAAAAAUGGUAACCCUGUACAGAGAUGGAUGUUAAUUUGUUUGAUUGUAGUAAUGAGUUCACUAUGGGUGAAUCAAAACAUUAAGCUCUACACCUUAUAUGUAAUUUAAAUUUUUAAGUGAUACAAAAGAAAAUUUUAAAGAAUCAGAUCUUUUUACCUGUGAAAUACUAUUAAGUGGGCAAUUAUAUCUCAAUCAUGAUGAAAAAAUGAUUUGCUGAUCAUUUUCCAAAUGAAAAGUGUAAACUCGCAGAUCUUAGAAUCACAUUGAGACCCCAAAAUUGAAUUUUUGAAAACUAGCAAACAAAAAAUUUUACAGCAAAGAAUAAAUACAUGUUAGAUAAAAAUGAAAUGAUGAGCCAGGUGUCAUGGCACAUGCCUGUAAUCCCAGGAGGCCAAGAGAGGAGGAUCGUGAGUUUAAAGCCAGCUUCAGCAAAAGCAACUGAGUGCUAAGCAACUCAGUGAGACACUGACUCUAAAUAAAACUCAGAAUUGGGCUGGGGAUGUGGCUCAGUAGUUGAGUGUCCCCGAGUUCAACCUCCUGAACCCAAUAAUAAUAAUAUUGAAGACUUUUUAUAAGAAAUUAUGCAGACCAGAAGACAAUGGAAUAAUUACAGAUCCUUACAGUUUUAAAGAAGAAAGAAGACUCAACAUAGAAUUUUAUGCCCCCAAAAAAUCUUUGUCAAGUAAAUUAAAAAUUAAAAAAACCACUAUCAUCUGGUGAGCAGAGCAGAAUUUAUCACCAACAGACAUUUAUUAUAAGAAAAGCUAAAAUUCUUCACGGGUAAGAAAAACAAUGCCAGAGAGAAACUCACAAAUAAAUACUGAGCACUGGAAAUGGGAAAUAUGUAGGUAAAUGUGAACAUUUUUUCAUCUUUAAUUUCUUUUAGACCAUUCCUAAAACAAAAUUUAUGACCUGAUGUUGUGAAGGUUAUAACAAAGGUAGAAGAUAUGCCAGCUGCAUUAAGGGCAAGAGGAUGAGGGAAAGAGGUUGUAGGGUUAUAUGUGAUGUGGUCCAAUAUUCUUUAAUGGUUGCCUGUGGAAGGUUGAAGGGAGGGAUCUAUUGUAAACCCCAGAGCAACGACAGAAAAAAAAAAUCUGUAGCUAAUAAGUCAAUAGUGGAUUUACUAGGAAAUCCUAAAACAAAUCCAGGAAAAAAUUGGAGAAAUAGAAAACAUCAAGGAGAGUUAAACACAAUGACAUAAAUAAUGGUAUUAAAAAUAAGUCUUGUAAAAACUUCUAUUAAAGGGCAGAGGUUGCUAUGCUGGAGUUAAAAGGCAAUUAUGAGCUAUUAGUUGUAUAUAAGAAACUCAUUUAAUAUAAAGAUAUCAAGAACAAGUUAACACUCAUGCAAAAAAUGAAAUUUGGUAUUUCAGAAACCAAUGAUUUGGGCAAUCUUAUGAUUUAGUCUCUCAAUUUUGUAGUGACAAAAUUGGGUACUUGAAAUGACUCACAUUUGGUCUUCUUAGCAAGAAAUAUGUCAGUCAUCAUGCUACAUGGAGUCACAGGCUAAGGACUUAAGUUGAAAAGCUCUUAUGUAUGAAAAUUCCCCAUAUUUAGGCAAUAAAGAGGCAAAGUACCAUAAGUCUUUUUUGUAGACUCUGUAACUAUCCAUGUCUAAGAACAUGAGCAAACUGGAGAUAAAGCAACCUCUAUAAAUUCCACAAACAAGCUCUGACCAAGUGUGGUAGUAUCCCAAAGGUGAUCAAUUUGCACACCCAUCUGCCCGACCAGAAAAGCAAAAAAUCAUAAAGCAAUCAGGUUUAAUAUAGUUUAAAAUUGAUAAUGUAUGCAAAGAUUCAAUAAAUAUGACUUAUAAUCCAUUAAACAGAAAACUGAAGUAAACCUACAGAUGGUUCACACGAUGGAGAUAGUCGACAAGAGUGAGAUACAGAUCCUCCAAGAAUUUGGGGCUGUGCCAGAUUGUUGGUCUAGUAGUGUUCCCAAGAGACUGGCACCAACAUUUGCAUUGGUUUUGGUUUGUUCUACCCAAGCAGCUUCUCCAGAAGAACACCAGAAGAUCUGAGAGGAACAGAAUUCUUUUUUUUUUUUCUGAAUCUAGACAUUUAAAGAAUUUUUACUACAGAGACAACUGAACAUAGGUUUCAAUGAUCACACACAAAAGGAAUAGAAUAAAACUGUUUGAAAAAGUUACACAUGGAAGAAUCUAACCAGCAAUCCCCGAGUAGGGCCAUCAGAUUUCUAGAAUUACUGUUCUAUAAUACUCCAAAAGUUCAUUUCUAAAAAGAAACCCAGGGCUGGGGAUGUGGCUCAAGCGGUAGCGCGCUCGCCUGGCAUGCGUGCGGCCCGGGUUCGAUCCUCAGCACCACAUACAAACAAAGAUGUUGUGUCCGCC
This 2510-nucleotide long non-coding RNA is filed under the name Marmota monax (woodchuck). Lineage: Eukaryota; Metazoa; Chordata; Mammalia; Rodentia; Sciuridae. The record is from RNAcentral.